This 503-nucleotide ribosomal RNA is filed under the name uncultured bacterium. RNAcentral describes it as "partial 16S ribosomal RNA". It matches the Rfam family "Bacterial small subunit ribosomal RNA", at positions 28 to 523 of the family's 1533-position model. The record is from RNAcentral.
GAUGAACGCUGGCGGCGUGCCUAAUACAUGCAAGUCGAACGAAGAUCUAGCUUGCUAGAUCUUAGUGGCGAACGGGUGAGUAAUACAUAAAUAAUCUGCCCAUUGGACUGGGAUAACUAUUGGAAACGAUAGCUAAUACCGGAUAGGUGAUUUGAAGGCAUCUUCGAAUCAUUAAAGUAGGGUCACUACACCAAUGGAUGAGUUUAUGGCGCAUUAGUUAUUUGGCGGGGUAACGGCCCACCAAGACGAUGAUGCGUAGCCGACCUGAGAGGGUGACCGGCCACACUGGGACUGAGACACGGCCCAGACUCCUACGGGAGGCAGCAGUAGGGAAUUUUCGGCAAUGGGCGCAAGCCUGACCGAGCAACGCCGCGUGAGUGAUUAAGGCCUUCGGGUUGUAAAGCUCUGUUGUAAGGGAAGAACAUUCAGGAUAGGAAAUGAUCUUGAACUGACGGUACCUUACCAGAAAGCCACGGCUAACUACGUGCCAGCAGCCGCGGUAA